Cornus florida is the source of this 1055-nucleotide long non-coding RNA. RefSeq lists it as uncharacterized. Lineage: Eukaryota; Viridiplantae; Streptophyta; Magnoliopsida; Cornales; Cornaceae. The transcript is spliced from 2 exons. The record is from RefSeq and is a predicted model, not a curated record.
UCGGGAGUAUUCACAACAUCACUAUUUGAUUCGGGAUUGGCUCUCUCUCUAUCUAGGGUUUUGAAUAAGUUUUCUUUUCUAGCAGCAAUUCAAUCGGUACAGUGAUUUAAUUUGAUAUAUCUAGUCAGUGUAAAUUUUAAAAUAUAUCAAUUAUGAAAAAAAAUUCUAAAAGAUACUACAUAACAAGAUAAAUAAAGAUAAUAAAGAUAAUAAAGAUAAGUCGAUUCCUAAAAAAAAAAAUAAAGAUGCCCUGUAACACCAGACCAACAACAAGUUUGGUAAUUAAUUCGGCGGAUAUCUUUCUGUUUCCCUAUCACUGCUCAUCAUAAAAUCAUAAAAGAUGGGUAUGACGCAAUUUUAAUAUUAUUUAAUAUUUGGGCUCAAGAAACUGUGGACUAAAACCUAUAAAAAAAUAAUAAUAAAAAAUUUCAAUUAAGUCGGUUAAGAGGAGUGAGGAUCAAGAAACUAUAUGGACUUACUAUUCCUAUCAAAAUAAUAAUAAAUAAAUAAAUAAAUAAAAUCCUAAAAUCGUUUCAAAUUUACCUAAAACCCUAAAUUUUAACUUUACAAUAUAAACCCUUCUGCCACUGAAAGGAGGCCGACUGCAAGAGAAUGGGAAGGAAGAAAAAGCAAAGAAAGCCAGCAAUAGAAGACGGAAAAGAGGCCGACUGCAAGAGAAUGGGAAGGAGGAAGAAGCAAAGAAAGCCAGCCAUAGAAGAGGUCGACUGUACUAGAAUGGGAAGGAAGAAAAAGCAAAGCAAACCAGCAACAAGAGGGGACACACCAAGUCUUCCAUGUGAAAUCAUAUACAAUAUACUCUUGAGACUACCCAUCAAGUCUAUGUUGCGAUUCAGGAAUUCUGAGACAAGUCGAAAAAUGAUGUGUAUCCAUGGGCACUGAUAUAGAUAGGAAUUUAUUUUAUUUUAUUUCAAUUAAAGCUAUGUAAAAUUUAGCUAGGGAGGCCUCAUCCUUGUAUUUAAUUCUUUUUAAUUGUAUAAAAUGAGACUAUGAAAUUAUUUCAUGAUGAAUGGGCAAUGGAGUUAUGUUUUGAUCAA